Molecule: ribosomal RNA, 218 nt
Filed under: uncultured bacterium
Lineage: Bacteria
Description: partial 16S ribosomal RNA
Rfam family: Bacterial small subunit ribosomal RNA
Source: RNAcentral
AGAGUUUGAUCCUGGCUCAGGACGAACGCUGGCGGCGUGCCUAAUACAUGCAAGUCGAGCGGACAGAUGGGAGCUUGCUCCCUGAAGUUAGCGGCGGACGGGUGAGUAACACGUGGGCAACCUGCCCUGCAGAUGGGGAUAACUCCGGGGAACCGGGGCUAAUACCGAAUAAUCAGUUCCUCCGCAUGGAGGAACUCUGAAAGACGGUUUCGGCUGUC